AAAACUGAAAAUGGCACGUUUUGGACGGCCAUCGCUUUCCCUGAUCCACACAGGGUUCCUGUUAGCGAUUGUUUUGUUACCAGAGUUUCUGGGGGCGGUUCCAGUGGAGCAGCACAAAGAGGAGGAAGUGACUGCAGUGUCUGGUGAUGUGAAAGCCGAGGCCAU
Molecule: long non-coding RNA, 165 nt
Organism: Seriola dumerili (greater amberjack)
Lineage: Eukaryota; Metazoa; Chordata; Actinopteri; Carangiformes; Carangidae
Exons: 3
Source: RefSeq, a predicted model, not a curated record